CGUAUACAUCAGAAAGCUCAUACAGUUCUUUGAGAAUUUCCAACUUCAAAAGGCACGCCUAGAACUGGAGUGUUUCUGAUUAAUUGUAUAGACCUUAGCCAAAGCUGGUGAAAGAAGAAGGUGGAAGAACAAAUUAUGAACCUACACCAAUCCUAGGGCAUAAUCUGUAUCAUGUGGAAUUGUCGAGACCAGUAUCAAGAUUUCCUGCUCUGAGAAUGAAACAUGGAGCUAUUUAAUGAAGACCAGUCAGUACAAUGGAGGACCAAUGGCAGUCCAACUCAGUGGGACCUUCUGUGCACCAAAAUUGACCUUUGGUUUUAUAGACCUAGGGGCCCAAUUCUUCUACCUUGAGCACAGCCUUCCAAAGUCCCAAUCAAGGUGCCUUUCAAUGGAACUAAAGUUCUCAACUGAAAUCCUUCCAACUCACUAGCUGUGCUGCUAAAAUGACAAAUUUUGUUCCCUGAAACAAGUUUACGGCAGUAAAAAAAAAUGAAAAAGCCAUAUGGACAUAUGAAGCAAGAGUAUCUUCUGAGGAGUAAAUCUACACGAUACAUCACCUUAAGAAUGGCAGCACAAAGAAAUACUGCUACUGAGUGUAGCUGAGCCUUUCCACCUCGCCUGCUUGCCUGCUGCUGUCAAUCAUUCUGACAGGCCAACAACCCAGAGCUGCUUGCUGACUGUGGUGGUUCACUGGAGAUGCCACGAAGAGGGGAGAUAGAACCCGGUAAUGUUGACUUGGACAGAGAAUGGAAUAUACAUAUGUGUUUGAAAAGAAAAGCCACCAAAUGGUAACCUUAAAGAUAAGGGGUUGCCAAUGCACACUUACUGUUGGCAGCUGAGCAACAAGUUCUCCAGAUGCUUUUGAGAACAGGGGAGCAAGGUUUGUAUCACUGAAGAUCAUAUUAUAUACUCAAUUCUAGAACAAUCACCUGGCAAAAAUGUGUUUUCUCCAUUUACUGAGCAUUUUUACCUAUGCCAUAUACUCAGAGGUAGCAAUUGUA
Non-coding RNA from Cricetulus griseus (Chinese hamster), 1001 nucleotides. The record is from RefSeq and is a predicted model, not a curated record. NCBI's taxonomy places the organism in Eukaryota, Metazoa, Chordata, Mammalia, Rodentia, Cricetidae.